Molecule: ribosomal RNA, 274 nt
Filed under: uncultured bacterium
Lineage: Bacteria
Description: partial 16S ribosomal RNA
Rfam family: Archaeal small subunit ribosomal RNA
Source: RNAcentral
AAACCAGCACCCCAAGUGGUCAGGAUGAUUAUUGGGCCUAAAGCAUCCGUAGCCGGCUCUGUAAGUUUUCGGUUAAAUCUGUACGCUUAACGUACAGGCUGCUGGGAAUACUGCAGAGCUAGGGAGUGGGAGAGGUAGACGGUACUCGGGAGGAAGUGGUAAAAUGCUUUGAUCUCUCGAUGACCACCUGUGGCGAAGGCGGUCUACCAGAACACGUCCGACGGUGAGGGAUGAAAGCUGGGGGAGCAAACCGGAUUAGAAACCCCAGUAGUCC